ACUCCUACGGGAGGCAGCAGUAAGGAAUAUUGGUCAAUGGGCGGAAGCCUGAACCAGCCAUGCCGCGUGCAGGAAGACGGCCCUACGGGUUGUAAACUGCUUUUGUACGGGAAUAAACCUCAGUAUGUAUACUGAGCUGAAUGUACUGUAAGAAUAAGGAUCGGCUAACUCCGUGCCAGCAGCCGCGGUAAUACGGAGGAUCCGAGCGUUAUCCGGAUUUAUUGGGUUUAAAGGGUGCGUAGGCGGCCUUGUAAGUCAGGGGUGAAAGACGGUAGCUUAACUAUCGCAGUGCCUUUGAUACUGCAGGGCUUGAAUGUACUUGAGGUAGGCGGAAUGUGACAAGUAGCGGUGAAAUGCAUAGAUAUGUCACAGAACACCAAUUGCGAAGGCAGCUUACUAAGUAUGAUUGACGCUGAGGCACGAAAGCGUGGGGAUCAAACAGGAUUAGAUACCCUGGUAGUCCACGCCCUAAACGAUGAAUACUCGAUGUUGGCGAUAUACAGUCAGCGUCAAAGCGAAAGCGUUAAGUAUUCCACCUGGGGAGUACGCCCGCAAGGGUGAAACUCAAAUGAAUUGACGGA
Molecule: ribosomal RNA, 581 nt
Filed under: uncultured Pedobacter sp.
Lineage: Bacteria; Pseudomonadati; Bacteroidota; Sphingobacteriia; Sphingobacteriales; Sphingobacteriaceae
Description: bacterial SSU rRNA
Rfam family: Bacterial small subunit ribosomal RNA
Source: RNAcentral